CAUCUAAAGGAAAAAGAUCACAGCACCAAUUUUGAUAACCUCGAGAUUUUACAUAAAGAAACAAACUACCACAAAAUAACCCUGUUAGAGCAAUACGAGAUAUUGAGAAAAAAGAAUGACUCGAACCUCCUAAAUGACAUAUCAGAUUUCCGAACAUCCAAGAACAUUUUUAAGCUGAUAACUCCCUGCAUUUAAUUUAAAUUUACCCGCCAAACCUUGACACUCCUUUCCUUACCGUAAUCUCGCACCUCUGUUUCCGUUCAAACAUCUUUCUGGUUUCUAGACUGAAUGCCUGCUCCAAAAAAUACAUUAAAUAUCGCCAACAAAUUGGAAUUAAGGAUCAAUUGUCUUUUUAAUUAUGAACAGGAAUUUUUCAUGGUUGUUACUUCAACUGAAUUACUAAACGCUGGCCUGAUGAUGGUUCCACUGUAAACCGAAAUCGAUCGCCGAAGUAUAAAUAUAUAAAUCA
Long non-coding RNA from Coccinella septempunctata (seven-spotted ladybird), 469 nucleotides. RefSeq lists it as uncharacterized. The record is from RefSeq and is a predicted model, not a curated record. The transcript is spliced from 2 exons. NCBI's taxonomy places the organism in Eukaryota, Metazoa, Arthropoda, Insecta, Coleoptera, Coccinellidae.